Molecule: ribosomal RNA, 372 nt
Filed under: uncultured bacterium
Lineage: Bacteria
Description: bacterial SSU rRNA
Rfam family: Bacterial small subunit ribosomal RNA
Source: RNAcentral
GACGAACGCUGGCGGCGUGCUUAACACAUGCAAGUCGAGCGGUAAGGCCCUUCGGGGUACACGAGCGGCGAACGGGUGAGUAACACGUGGGUGACCUGCCCUCCACUCUGGGAUAAGCCCGGGAAACUGGGUCUAAUACCGGAUAUGACCUCUGGAUGCAUGUCUGGUGGUGGAAAGCCUGGGUUGUAUGACUCUGGCGGUGGGGGAUGGGCCCGCGGUCUAUCAGCUUGUUGGGGGGUGAUGGCCUACCAAGGCGACGACGGAUAGCCGGCCUGAGAGGGUGAUCGGCCACACUGGGACUGAGACACGGCCCAGACUCCUACGGGAGGCAGCAGUGGGGAAUCUUGCGCAAUGGGCGGAAGCCUGACGCAG